Molecule: long non-coding RNA, 2335 nt
Filed under: Heterocephalus glaber (naked mole-rat)
Lineage: Eukaryota; Metazoa; Chordata; Mammalia; Rodentia; Bathyergidae
Description: lncRNA (ENSHGLG00000036124.1)
Source: RNAcentral
GCCAGGAGGCCGCUGUUACCCCAGGUGCAUGACCCUGGCAGACAGUGCUUCAACCCUGAGGCCCAGCUCCAGCCCUUCCUCCCCUGCUGCUUCUCCAGCCUUCCUGUUCCAUGGCCGGGCAGCUUGUCCUCUUCUCCACUGAGUCCAGUCUCUGCAUGAAGCAGAUCUUAAGCACAGCAUUUUCAUCUUUCUGUUCAUCACCCUGGAAUGGGUGCAGAUUCCCCAGUGCCUGAGCAAGAUGACUUCAGGGACUUUCUAGGCAAGACCGUGCCUUUUCCUUCUGAGAGAAAUAAAAUGAGCCGAAUCAUGAACACCCAAGGCAAGGCUUUUAUCAAAGGACAGAGCUAUCGGGCUGUCUGGAACAACGUCAAGAGCGGCAACCUGGGGCUGGCUGGGGAAGGUGAGCGAGCAUGGGGGUUCCCCUCCAUUCCCUGGGGUCAUCAGGUGGAGCUGCGGUGGCAUGGCCAGCUGCCAGGGCAUGCCUGUCAUGGUGAGCAGCAAAGCUGUCGUCUUGGUGACUUUGGAAGCCUCGGGAGGAAGCACUCAGGGUACAAGUCCCAAGUGGAUUUACAGGACUUCUGGAGCCCACACUACCCAAGAAAUAAAUCGUGAACAGGUUUACAGGACCUCCAAGGCGGCCGGCCUAUGGGAGAAGAACUAACCAGACAGAGCUGCUCAAGACCCUUUCCAGCUGGGCAACCCAUAGGAACAGAAACGAAGGUGGCUCGAGCCUGGGGUUAAACCGGCAGAAUCACGUGCGGAAUCACAUUGGCAGCCCCGGGCGGGUCUUAGCGGGAGAAUCUGCCUCCAAGACCCAGCCCUUGCAGACCGAGGCCAGCUUCCAGCAUGGCUGUGACUGGCCAAGGGUCACUCAUUCCCACGCUUUCCAACACAGCUGGGUGCAAGCCAAGGAGGCAAGCAGCAGAGUCAAUCUUUUCCAAGCUCUCUGUGGAAUGGAUGUCACUUAUCCAUGCCCUGUGCCAUAUUUUAUUGGUUAGAAACAACUCAUUAGGCGCGCACCCUGGGGGAGGUGGCUACAUAAUAAGCCCAGGAACACAGGAAGUAGAUCACGGAGGGAUGCCUGAGAAGUCUGCCUACCACAGUGUCUUCAGCCCCUGGUUACAGCAGGUGCUCAAUAAUGUUCGUCAUUUUGGAUUUUGGUGUUCCUACCACAACAGGACUAGUUGGAAAAUUGCACUACAAAAAUAAUAAACUUCAGGGCCGGGGAUUUAGCUCAGUGGUUCCACAGCCUGCUUUGCAAGGACAAGGACCUGAGUUUGUUCGCCGGUACCAAAAAUAAAUAAAUAAAUAAACUUCAGGUGUUAGAGGGGGCUGAUCUGAUGGGAAAUUCUGUUCUCUCUGGGGGACAAAUUCACCAGGAAUUCAGUCCUGUCCUCAUGGCUGGACUGUCCUGGGGGUGAGCCUAUAUCCUUUACCUCAACACCUUCAACAUUUAGCAGAGCCUCCUCAACACAUGAAAGGAGCUUGGAGAGCAUGGAAUGGAUUAUGGAUGGAGGAAUGGUCAAGAGAACGAUAAACUCUCUACUCCUCAGACACCCUCUGUCCACCAACCAGGAUAUACUUUUUUUUGGUGUGUGUGCUGGUGGGAAUUGAACCCAGAGCCUUGGGCAUACUAGGCAAAUGCUGUACACUGAGCUGGGCCCUCGGCACCAGGCUCCAGGUUUAACAAAACAUGGACUUUGAAAAGUGGGCACAGAAAGGGGAAAUCUACUACUUCACUAACAGUUUUUUUGACUGAACAGGUGUCAACAAGGCUUUCCCCAUGUUGGCCCUGGGUGUUUUCAUCUCUCAAUCAUACUUUUCAAAAUCCUAAUCUGAGAAAAAUCUAUAUUAUGAACAAAUAGAAACUGUACCAAGUAAAAUCUGAGCAUGCCAUAAUGGUCAGAAGGAGUCUUCCCGGCCCAGGCCCUGGGCAAAUGGGAUUUAGAAUCUCGAUUAUCUGUAGAUGUUUAGUAGAAAGAACUGAGGCACUGAAUGUACUCUAAGGAGUUGUGUUGCGCUUGUGGCUUUUAUCCGGAUAUCCCCCAAAAGCCUUGAGUGCUCACAGACUGGGCUUUGGAGGAUGGCAAUCAGGGGCUGAUGUCGCCCUUGUUGCUAGGAGACUGGGUUGCUAGGAGACCGGGUUGGCUCAGAAGAGGUGGGCUUGCUGGGGGUGACAUGGAGGGGGUGAACCCCCCUCCUACCCUCCCCUGCUUCCUCACCACCAUGACGUGAGCAGCUUUCCUGCCACCAGGCCAUGUCUGUGUUUCCUCCUGCCAAUCAUGGACUGAAACUUCUGAAACUAUGAGCCAAAAUAAACCUCUACUCCUUUGAG